UCUUUGAUGGUCUAACGGUCAUGAUUUCCGCUUGUCAUGCAUGACAAGUCGCGGGAGAUCGGGGUUCGACUCCCCGUCAGAGAG
Oidiodendron maius Zn is the source of this 84-nucleotide transfer RNA. It matches the Rfam family "tRNA". From Rfam's summary of the family: Transfer RNA (tRNA) molecules are approximately 80 nucleotides in length. Their secondary structure includes four short double-helical elements and three loops (D, anti-codon, and T loops). Lineage: Eukaryota; Fungi; Ascomycota; Leotiomycetes; Myxotrichaceae. The record is from Rfam.